This is a non-coding RNA of Acanthosepion pharaonis, 104 nucleotides long. Lineage: Eukaryota; Metazoa; Mollusca; Cephalopoda; Sepiida; Sepiidae. The record is from the annotation of a GenBank genome assembly.
UGACCAUAUAGUGCUGAAACACUGAUUCCCAUUUGAUCACCAAAGUUAAGCAACAUUGAGCUUGGUCAGUGCCUAGGUGGAUGACUGCAUGGAAAUACCAGAUG